This is a non-coding RNA of Callithrix jacchus (white-tufted-ear marmoset), 1573 nucleotides long. NCBI's taxonomy places the organism in Eukaryota, Metazoa, Chordata, Mammalia, Primates, Cebidae. The record is from RefSeq and is a predicted model, not a curated record.
UGAAGAAGACAACCUCUUCCUUUCUGGAACAAACCACAGUUUGAGGAACGACAAUGACGGAACUCGAUAAAAAGGGAAGAAGCCAGACUGCUCCGGUCAUCUGACGGCUCUUCAAUGAAGCUGUAAUCCACUCGUGGAGGGCCUGACCAUUCACUGCGAAUCUGCCGAGGAGGAGGAAGGGGCCGGAGGAAGUGAGAACGUCGGCCUCGGUUCCAGCAUCAUUGCAUCAUUCCAGCACAGUAUCCAAAUUAAGGACGGGGCGCUGCGCUGAGUGUAGGGGCAUGAGCUCAGAACUCCUGUCUGGGGCUGGUCCCUUUUCUGCUCUGGGCUCUUCUUGUGUAAAAAUGAAGAGUAGACUACCAUCUCGAGGCCAGUGAAAUUCUAGACUCUCCUUUCUGUUUUUCAGGAUUUUUUUUCUUUUCUUUUAAAAUCCGAAAUGGGAGCUUCCGCAUUUAUUAUUUGCACGUGGUUCUGAGGCUCACUCCUGGCCACAUCACAGCUAUGUUCUUUCGCCUCCGGUAAAUACAUAAAAUGCCUAGCAACAGUCCUGGUGGCUGCUGGUCCCCAUAAAUACUGCUGCUCGGCUCCCGCCCCACCUCUGUACCCCGGCUCCUCUCACAGCCUGGGGACUGAGGUAUGGAGGCCAAGAGAGGGUCGUUUUAAGGAAGAAGCAAGACAAAAUGCUCCAUCCCAUCCAAGGAAGAGCUGGAUUCUCCUCUUUGGGCUCAGGGAGUAAGAUGAGCGUAUGGAUUGUCUCUACCUGGAGCAUCCCUGCCUGUCUACUGUGAAAGGACCAGGAGACAUUGGGAGACUGGCUGGCAUGCGCUUCCUGAUCCUAUCAAUCGAAGCUGUAGACGAAUAUCCAUUCUUCAUCUGAGGACAAACGACAGACGAUUUAACCAUUCAGGGAACUGAAAAGAACACGGAUGGCAUCAAGCUUGGCCCUUAGCUGACAGAGACUAGGAGUUGAAAGACAGGUGCUGAAGGAGUGAAUGUUUUCAUUUUUUAAAUGGGCAAUUAAGUGAUGCUCUCUAUGGUCAACAGAAUGAGAAAUCAAGUUUCCAAGAAUUUGUUUGAGAAUUAAGCAACGUCCUCUAAGCGGAGGGAUGGAGCAUGAAGGGAAGAGGUCUGGGGGAAGACACAGACGAGGCUGAAUCAGGGAGAGAAACCCCAUUGACUAUAAAAGGAAGGCAAUGAAGUCAAAUGUUUAUAAACUGAGAAAGAGUGAUGUUAUGGGUUGACUUAUGUCCCCUCAAAAGACAUGUUCAAGUCCCCAGUACCUAUGAAUGUGACUUAACUUGGAAACAGGGUCUCUGUAAAUGUAAUCAAGUUAAGAGGAGGUCAUUAGGGUGGGUUCUAACCUGAUAGGACUGUGUCCUUAUAGGCAGAGGAAAAUACCAUGUGAGGAGGGACACAGAGGGCAAGCCAAGGACCAAUGGCACUGCCAAGAGCUGGAAGAGGCAGGGAAGGAUCUCCCCGAGGCUUCAGAGCCAGUGUGGCUCUGCUGGCACCUUGAUUACAGAUUUCCAGCUCUCAGAACUGUGAGAUAAUAAAUUUCUAUUGUUUUAAGCCA